AUAUUUUUAUUAUAUUUAGUAAUUUUAACUUCCAAUUAAAUAGUCCUUAAGGAAAAUAUU
Molecule: transfer RNA, 60 nt
Filed under: Sminthurinus signatus
Lineage: Eukaryota; Metazoa; Arthropoda; Collembola; Symphypleona; Katiannidae
Description: tRNA-Gly
Source: RNAcentral